UACGUAGGGGGCAAGCGUUGUCCGGAUUUAUUGGGCGUAAAGAGCGUGUAGGCGGCCAGACAGGUCCACUGUGAAAACUCGAGGCUCAACCUCGAGAGGUCGGUGGAAACCGUCUGGCUAGAGUCCGGAAGAGGAGAGUGGAAUUCCCGGUGUAGCGGUGAAAUGCGCAGAUAUCGGGAAGAACACCCGUGGCUAAGGCGGCUCUCUAGUACGGUACUGACGCUGAGACGCGAAAGCGUGGGGAGCGAACAGG
Molecule: ribosomal RNA, 253 nt
Filed under: uncultured bacterium
Lineage: Bacteria
Description: partial 16S ribosomal RNA
Rfam family: Bacterial small subunit ribosomal RNA
Source: RNAcentral